GUCUACGGCCAUCACACUCAGAACACGGCCGAUCUCAUCUGAUCUCGGAAGCUAAAAAUCUGGUGGUCCUGGAGAUGGUGCAGUGGACA
Molecule: ribosomal RNA, 89 nt
Organism: Erinaceus europaeus (western European hedgehog)
Lineage: Eukaryota; Metazoa; Chordata; Mammalia; Eulipotyphla; Erinaceidae
Source: Ensembl